This is a non-coding RNA of Paramuricea clavata, 764 nucleotides long. The record is from the annotation of a GenBank genome assembly. NCBI's taxonomy places the organism in Eukaryota, Metazoa, Cnidaria, Anthozoa, Malacalcyonacea, Plexauridae.
AACAAACAGAAUUGUUUGAUUUAUUUACUUUCCACAACAUUGACAAUUAAAAUUUAAUUUGAUACUUUUCCAGUAUAUUGACAUUAUAUAGGUUCAGAUUUGACUACCAUUACCAUUACUGUCGUUCCAAUUGAAGUGUUCCUCAAAUAUUGAUUCAAUACAUUACAUCGGGCUGACCAAUUCAUUUCAUCAAGUUCCUCGAAAUAUUCAUACACUUCCUAGUAUAAUUGUAAACUUCCUGUUGAAUAGUUUGAAUGCACCAAUCACCUUUGUUGUUUGUGCAACUAACCAAUCAUAAAUAGAAAGGAACAGGGGCGGCGGAACAGGGGGGCUAAAGCCCCCCCAGAAAAUUUGAAUUUUUUGAAAAAAAUUUUGAUAAUUAGGGAAAAAUUUAGGUUAUUUUUUGAAAAUUUAGGUAUAAGGGGGAAAAUUUGCAAUAUUUUGUUUAAAAAAAGUUAUUUCCGAAAAAAAUUUUUGACAUUGGAAUUGGCUCUUUCACAGGAAGUGUAUGAAUAUCUCGAGGAACUUGAUGAAAUGAAUUGGUCAGCCCGAGGUAAUGUAUUGAAUCAAUAUUUGAGGAACACUUCAAUUGGAACGACACUAAGGGACCAUCAACCAAUCAAAUGCAUUUGAUAUAUUCGAUCAACCAAUGUGAGUUUAUUCAUAAACUAAUUAUAAAUCAACUUCCAUGCAAUGCUUUAUGCAAUCAUCUAGUUAUGCACCAGUCAAUGCAAAUCCCUGCCCCCAACCGGGGAGAGCGGAAG